Long non-coding RNA from Drosophila innubila, 109 nucleotides. RefSeq lists it as uncharacterized. The record is from RefSeq and is a predicted model, not a curated record. The transcript is spliced from 3 exons. Lineage: Eukaryota; Metazoa; Arthropoda; Insecta; Diptera; Drosophilidae.
AACAAAUGAUGGCAACGUGGCGUUCUGGUUAGAUAGACCGCUUCAGUUGUGAAGCAGUAGGCGGCGGUUCGAAUCCCCCUCAAACCCGAUUCAAAGCAUAUUUAAAAAA